Molecule: ribosomal RNA, 1047 nt
Filed under: Blattisocius keegani
Lineage: Eukaryota; Metazoa; Arthropoda; Arachnida; Mesostigmata; Blattisociidae
Description: 16S ribosomal RNA
Rfam family: Archaeal large subunit ribosomal RNA (bases 685-999)
Source: RNAcentral
AGUACUGUAAAGGAAAUAAUGUAUAAAAUUAGAAUAAGAAAUAAUAGUACCUUUAGCAUAAGGGAUAUUUAAAAAAAUUUUUUUAAAAAAAUUUCCCAAAAAAAAAUGAGUUUUUAAGUUUAAAUUAAUAUAUGUAGAAUAAUAUAUUAAUAAAAUUUAAAAGAGGUUAAAUUUGAAUCAUAUUUUUUAUAUUUGGUUAUAAAGAUAUUUUUAUAGAAAAAUCAAAUAGUUAUUAAUAUAUUUAUUUAAUCAUUUGAUUAAAAUAUUAGAGAUAAGUUUAAUAUUGUUUUAUAUAAAUAUUAUUAAAUUUUUUUGUUAAGGGGUGAAAUUUUUUGAGUAAUGUGAUAAUUAAAUAUAAUUAUUGAAUAAAUUAUUAGAUUAUUUAUAUGAAAGUAAUAAUAUAGUUAUUUUAUAAAUAUGAAUGUAUUAGUAUGUAUAGAAAAUUUAUUAUUAUGAAUUCGGCAAAAAUAAUUUUCAACUGUUUAACAAAAACAUUUUUAUUAGAAUUAAUUAAUAAUAAAUUCUGCUCAAUGAUAUUAUUAUUAAAUUGCUAUGGUAUACUGACCAUACAAAGGUAUUGAAAUAAGUCUUUAAUUGAGAGCUAAGAGAAUGGAGUAAUGAAAAUUAACUUUAUUAUGAUAAUAAAUAGAAUUUUACUUUUAUAUGAAAAGGUAUAAAUAAAAACAUGGGACAAGAAGACCCUAUGAAUUUUUAUUAUUAGUUAUGAUUAAUAUUAAUAAUUAAUAAUUUGAUUGGGGCGAUAGAAAAAUAUUAAAAAACUUUAUUUUAGAGAAAAUAAUUUUUAGGUAUUAAAAAAUACUCUAGGGAUAACAGCGUUAUUAUUUUGGAGAGUACUAAUCGGUAAAAUAGUUUGCGACCUCGAUGUUGAAUUGAUAUAUCUAUUAGGUGGAGAAAUUUAAUAAGAGAGAUUGUUCAUCUUAUAAAGUAUCACAUGAUUUGAGUUCAGACCGGCGUAAGCCAGGUUGGUUUCUAUCUAUGAAAAAAAUUAUAAUAUUUAGUACGAAAGGAAUAAUUUUAUUUUAAUUU